This 607-nucleotide ribosomal RNA is filed under the name uncultured bacterium. RNAcentral describes it as "bacterial SSU rRNA". It matches the Rfam family "Bacterial small subunit ribosomal RNA", at positions 338 to 948 of the family's 1533-position model. The record is from RNAcentral.
CCUACGGGAGGCAGCAGUGAGGAAUAUUGGACAAUGGGCGCAAGCCUGAUCCAGCCAUGCCGCGUGCAGGAAGAAGCAUCUAUGGUGUGUAAACUGCUUUUGUACAGGAAGAAACACUCCCUCGUGAGGGAGCUUGACGGUACUGUAAGAAUAAGGACCGGCUAACUCCGUGCCAGCAGCCGCGGUAAUACGGAGGGUCCGAGCGUUAUCCGGAAUCAUUGGGUUUAAAGGGUCCGUAGGCGGUUUAAUAAGUCAGUGGUGAAAUCUGGUCGCUCAACGAUCAAACGGCCAUUGAUACUGUUAGACUUGAAUUAUAAGGAAGUAACUAGAAUAUGUAGUGUAGCGGUGAAAUGCUUAGAUAUUACAUGGAAUACCAAUUGCGAAGGCAGGUUACUACUUAUGGAUUGACGCUGAUGGACGAAAGCGUGGGGAGCGAACAGGAUUAGAUACCCUGGUAGUCCACGCCGUAAACGAUGGAUACUAGCUGUUCGGAGCAAUCUGAGUGGCUAAGCGAAAGUGAUAAGUAUCCCACCUGGGGAGUACGUUCGCAAGAAUGAACUUAAAGGAAUUGACGGNUGAGAGNGCGAGACGACGACGAGGGAGGAGG